RNAcentral lists this non-coding RNA (731 nucleotides) under Ptilometra sp. DH-R. The record is from RNAcentral. Lineage: Eukaryota; Metazoa; Echinodermata; Crinoidea; Comatulida; Ptilometridae.
AUUCUUUAAAUAUAAAAAACCACAACAGCAGUACUAAACAUUAAGCAAUUAGUAAAAACUAGACUUAAUAAUUGAAAAUAAUAUUGGUAAAAAUACGUGCCAGCCACCGCGGUUAUACGUAAAAUAUAAAAAGUAAAAAAAACACUUUUAGUGAAAAAAACUACAAAAGUAUUUUAAAAAACAAAAAAAACAGUCAAAUGUAAAAAAUAAAAGAAAAUCAAAAACAUAAAAAUAAAACACUAAAAAAUAAAUUCACGAAAAUUUAAAAAUAAACCAGGAUUAGAGACCCUGCUAUAUUAAAUUAUAAACAAAAACAAAGAACUACGAGCCAAAGCUUAAAACUUAAAGGACUUGGCGGUUUUUUAGACCUCCCUAGAGGAGCCUGCUACAUAAUCGACAAUCCACGAAAAACCUUACCUCUUCUAGAAAAACAGCUUGUAUAUCAUCAUCGUCAGCUCACCUUAACAAGAGAAGUAAGCCAAAAGAAAGCCUCCAAAACGUUAGAUCAAGAUGCAGCCAAUGAAAAGGAAGUAAGUGGGCUACAAUACUCAAAAACGAAUAGCGAAACUUUAAAAUAAAAAAUAAAAAGAAGAAGGAUUUAGUAGUAAAAAUCUUAAAUAAAAAUAUUUUGAAAAAGCUCUAAAACACGUACACACCGCCCGUCACUCUCUUUACUUAAAAGAGAAAAGUCGUAACAAGGUAAGAGUAGGGGAACCUGCUCUUGGAAAGUU